CAAAUUUUUGGUUGAAAUUAAAAUUUAUUUAAAAAAUAUUUUAUGAAUUUAUUCGCAGUAAGUAAAAUUAAAUUUUAAAGAAAUUUAGAUUUAGGAAUAGAGUUUAAUAUUAACAAAAUUUGUGCCAGCAGUUGCGGUUAUACAAAUAAUAUAAAUUAAUUUUUUUAGUAAAAGUUAGUUUUUAAAAAUAAUUUUGUAAUAAAAUUUAUUAGGUGAAAUUUUAAAUUUUAGAUAAAAUUUGAAUAGUAAAACGAAGCUUAAAAAUUUUAGUUUAAACUAGGAUUAGAUACCCUAUUAUUAAAAAUGUAAAUUUUUUUACUUAAUUAGUAUUAGUUAUGUUCUUGAAAAUUAAAAAAUUUGGCGGUAUUUUAGUCUUUUCAGAGGAACCUGUUCUAUAAUCGAUAGUCCACGAUUAGAUGCACUUUAUUUAUUAGUUUAUAUAUCGUCGUAGUUUAAAUAUUUUAAUAGAAUUAUAAAUAUUUAAAAUUUUUUAUUAAAAAAUAAAUCAGAUCAAGGUGUAGUUUAUAAUAAAGAAGAAAUGGGUUACAAUAAAUUUAUUUGAAAAUAAUUUUUGUUAAAAAAAUUUGAAUUUGGAUUUGAGAGUAAUUUUUUAGAUUUUUUUAAGAUGAUUAAAGCUCUAAAAUAUGUACAUAUCGCCCGUCGCUUUCAUUUUAAAAUGAAAUAAGUCGUAACAAAGUAGAUGUACUGGAAAGUGUCUCUAGAAAGA
Molecule: non-coding RNA, 727 nt
Filed under: Acanthoscelides obtectus
Lineage: Eukaryota; Metazoa; Arthropoda; Insecta; Coleoptera; Chrysomelidae
Source: RNAcentral